Molecule: ribosomal RNA, 649 nt
Filed under: Staphylococcus sp.
Lineage: Bacteria; Bacillati; Bacillota; Bacilli; Caryophanales; Staphylococcaceae
Description: bacterial SSU rRNA
Rfam family: Bacterial small subunit ribosomal RNA
Source: RNAcentral
GCUUCUCUGAUGUUAGCGGCGGACGCCCUGAGUAACACGUGGGUAACCUACCUAUAAGACUGGGAUAACUCCGGGAAACCGGGGCUAAUACCGGAUAAUAUUUUGAACCGCAUGGUUCAAUAGUGAAAGACGGUUUCGGCUGUCACUUAUAGAUGGACCCGCGCCGUAUUAGCUAGUUGGUAAGGUAAUGGCUUACCAAGGCGACGAUACGUAGCCGACCUGAGAGGGUGAUCGGCCACACUGGAACUGAGACACGGUCCAGACUCCUACGGGAGGCAGCAGUAGGGAAUCUUCCGCAAUGGGCGAAAGCCUGACGGAGCAACGCCGCGUGAGUGAUGAAGGUCUUCGGAUCGUAAAACUCUGUUGUUAGGGAAGAACAAAUUUGUUAGUAACUGAACAAGUCUUGACGGUACCUAACCAGAAAGCCACGGCUAACUACGUGCCAGCAGCCGCGGUAAUACGUAGGUGGCAAGCGUUAUCCGGAAUUAUUGGGCGUAAAGCGCGCGUAGGCGGUUUCUUAAGUCUGAUGUGAAAGCCCACGGCUCAACCGUGGAGGGUCAUUGGAAACUGGGAAACUUGAGUGCAGAAGAGGAGAGUGGAAUUCCAUGUGUAGCGGUGAAAUGCGCAAAGAUAUGGAGGAACACCAGUG